GCUGGGUGUGGUGGUGCAUGCCUGUAAUCCCAGCUACUUGGGAGGCUGAGGCAGGAGAAUCGCUUGAACCCGGGAGGCACAGGUUGCAGUGAGCUGAGAUGGCGCCACUGCACACUAGCCUGGGUGACAGAGCAAGACUCUGUCUCAA
RNAcentral lists this small RNA (148 nucleotides) under Macaca fascicularis (crab-eating macaque). RNAcentral's name for it is "Metazoan signal recognition particle RNA (ENSMFAG00000052559.1)". Lineage: Eukaryota; Metazoa; Chordata; Mammalia; Primates; Cercopithecidae. RNAcentral also lists the same sequence under 1 other name. The record is from Rfam by way of RNAcentral.